AAAUUGAAGAGUUUGAUCAUGGCUCAGAUUGAACGCUGGCGGCAGGCCUAACACAUGCAAGUCGAACGGUAGCACAGAGAGCUUGCUCUCGGGUGACGAGUGGCGGACGGGUGAGUAAUGUCUGGGAAACUGCCUGAUGGAGGGGGAUAACUACUGGAAACGGUGGCUAAUACCGCAUAACGUCGCAAGACCAAAGAGGGGGACCUUCGGGCCUCUUGCCAUCAGAUGUGCCCAGAUGGGAUUAGCUUGUUGGUGAGGUAACGGCUCACCAAGGCGACGAUCCCUAGCUGGUCUGAGAGGAUGACCAGCCACACUGGAACUGAGA
This 325-nucleotide ribosomal RNA is filed under the name Salmonella enterica subsp. enterica serovar Infantis. RNAcentral's name for it is "partial 16S ribosomal RNA". It matches the Rfam family "Bacterial small subunit ribosomal RNA", at positions 1 to 324 of the family's 1533-position model. The record is from RNAcentral. RNAcentral also lists the same sequence under 3 other names. Lineage: Bacteria; Pseudomonadati; Pseudomonadota; Gammaproteobacteria; Enterobacterales; Enterobacteriaceae.